Molecule: ribosomal RNA, 497 nt
Filed under: uncultured bacterium
Lineage: Bacteria
Description: partial 16S ribosomal RNA
Rfam family: Bacterial small subunit ribosomal RNA
Source: RNAcentral
GAUGAACGCUGGCGGCGUGCCUAAUACAUGCAAGUCGAGCGAACAGACGAGGAGCUUGCUCCUCUGACGUUACCGGCGGACGGGUGAGUAACAGGUGAUUAACCUACCUAUAAGACUGGGAUAACUGCGGGAAACCGGAGUUAAGACCGGAUAAUAUAUUGAACCGCAUGGUUCAAUAGUGAAAGAGGUUUUUGCUGUCACUUAUAGAUGGAUCCGCGCCGCAUUAGCUAGUUGGUAAGGUAACGGCUUACCAAGGCAACGAUGCGUAGCCGACCUGAGAGGGUGAUCGGCCACACUGGAACUGAGACACGGUCAAGACUCCUACGGGAGGCAGCAGUAGGGAAUCUUCCGCAAUGGGCGAAAGCUUGACGGAGCAACGCCGCGUGAGUGAUGACGGUCUUCGGAUCGUAAAACUCUGUUAUUAGGGAAGAACAAAUGUGUAAGUAACUAUGCACGUCUUGACGGUACCUAAUCAGAAAGCCACGGCUAACUACGUG